CAUGCUUCAUCAAUGUCUUUGGCGUCAAAACAAAGCACAUGGAUUGAAGGAAGAGGCGAUUGAGUUAAGCUAAAUUCCUAUGAAACUUUGGAAUUUUAAAUUAAUUUUACUACAACUCUAUCUGGGAAAUUCUACAGAAAGUUCUUACAAAAAGCUUAUCAUAAGCUUCAAAAAGUAGGAGCCUUUAGAUUGAAAAAAAAGGAUAAAAGCAAAACCGGGAUUUACCGGUUAUAGGUAAUCAAAGAAAUUCACUAAAGGUGAAAAAAUUCUUCUUUAGGUUAAAAAAACAUUUCUUCCCCAAGCCGCCGUUCCCCGUUCCUCCUCCAGACCCAUUCCGGUCGACGCCACCGCCGUGUUUGCCACUCUCCGACGCCGGUCGGAAAAUCUCGCUACAUCAUCAAUGCCGUAGGUUCUGUUCAAGGCAACAUUUUAUGCCAUCCCAUGCUUUCCUCUUCUUCACCGCGGUUCUGACCGAUCCCGCUGGACAUCGUUGCCGUGUCUGUCAUUUUCCGAUGAAUAACGAAGCCCAGUGCCUCGUCAGUGCCGUAGGUUCCGAUUGGUGCAUUUUGGUCGUUCCUCUUCUUCGCCGUGGGACGGGCUUACUGCUCUCGACGUUCCCGCCCUCUUUUGACAAUGGUAUAGUGAUAUCAAUAACGGUUCUAAUAGCAAGUGGGUUCCCAAACAAACAACAAAUCCUAGCCUCUAAACACUAUGUUGGUGUCGUGAUCGAAGGAGAAGAACGAGUGAGCGGUCAAGAUGUUCGGGGCCAAAAUAGUUGUACCAUCACCAAUGUGCAUGCCUUCAGCAACUAGACCAUGACACAACAAGGCCCAAAAAAGGAAACAAACAUCUAAACUGCCGUGAAAAUUUGCCGAAACCAUCAAAAGGAGUGGAGCCACGACCAUCAUAAGUGGCCUCAGCCCCCAAAUAACAGAAUUGGUGCAGUGAGUCCAAAGCCCAACGAAAUUCAAUCGAUAGAAAGCCUGGCAACGACGGCAUCUUACAUAUGCUCAAAAAGGACCAAGCCUAAGUGAACAGAAAAACAAGCACAAGACAUAGAGAGAGCCAUGCUCCAAGCAAAAGCAUACAGAAACCCACACAGUGGCAGGGGUCGGCCCAAAUCACAGCAGCAAAAUGUCAAAAAUCCGCCGUGCUGACAGUGAAGAAGAAGGGAAAACCCUUUAUUUUCCGAUCGCCUGGAAGGGACAAAAGAAACAUCUUGUUCUUUCUUCAACAAUUUCUGAUCUCUAGUGGACCUAACUCUUUUAACAGAAAAUAAAAAUCAAGAGCAUGAUUCAUUUCUCUUAAAUUGUACAAUGUAUAUUGUUCCACACCAUAAAAAGUAACUAUUAUUUUAGUAAUAGAUGAUUUAUUAAAUUAA
Long non-coding RNA from Gossypium raimondii (Peruvian cotton), 1381 nucleotides. RefSeq lists it as uncharacterized. Lineage: Eukaryota; Viridiplantae; Streptophyta; Magnoliopsida; Malvales; Malvaceae. The record is from RefSeq and is a predicted model, not a curated record. The transcript is spliced from 2 exons.